RNAcentral lists this long non-coding RNA (737 nucleotides) under Helianthus annuus (common sunflower). The record is from RNAcentral. Lineage: Eukaryota; Viridiplantae; Streptophyta; Magnoliopsida; Asterales; Asteraceae.
GAUCUAGAUUUGUUGUUUCAGAAGGAUGAGAUCUUAACCAGGUUUGGCGAUAUUCCGCUUUGGCUGUUAAUCUCUCAAACUUGAUUUUGAAUCUUUGAAUCAACCAGUUUUAUCUUCUCAAUUUCAACGAGCCGUAGAUAUCCUUAAUUGCGAUUGAAGCAAACAGGUUAUAUGACGCGAAGGGAUUGGAGGAUUAUACUUCCGUGGUUGGAUGCUUAUAUCAGGUUAUACAAAGUGAAUGGGUUAGAUGAUUAUACAAUGUCCUUAAUUCAUCUCUGCUUGGAACUGCUGCAUCACAGAAUAGGAACCACACUAACACGGACCAAGCAUGGAAAGCUAACGGGUCAAGCGGAAGCGAGGGAGCAAGCAUGGACACUAACGCUUAAGGUGUGAACGUAUAUAUAUAUGCGGAUGCUAGUAUGCAUGUAUAACCGAAUGCCAGAAGGUAAGUACGUAUGUUCAUAUGAUUUCUAUAUGAUUAUGUUUUGAUGCAAAUAACAGUGUACCUUGAGAAUGAAGAAUAGUACAGGUACAAUGAUGAAGUCUCUCUGGAGAAUGGAUACUCAGAUGGAAAUGCCUAAUUAUAAAAGGGAUAACGGAAUAGAAAGUAAGAGUGUAUGAAACUUGUUACGUUCAUGUUGUGUACUAAUGUUUGAAAUUGUAUGGUAAGUGUAGGUUGUAUGAGUCACGGAGGAUCACUGAGGAGCGGAGAUCGAAGACCGAGUCACAAGUUAGAU